CAGGCCUCAGUGGCUCUUCUGCAGUGAAAAGAUCCUCUGGGAUCCUGGGGUUGUGAGACCUGAUUCCUGGGGAGAGAGACGCGGGGAGGGAGUCGGGGAGGGGCUGUUUUAGAAUUACCACUCACAUUUCUAAACAUCUUCGCAUCCAUAAAUGUUUCCAGUUCAGUGACAGCUGAGGCAUUUGUUUUGAUCGUGGGCUUCUCACUCACCAGCCAGUUAUUUUGGUUAAAACAGAGCAUUUGUUUUCUGAAAGGUGACAAUUUGAGGAGGAGUUAUUCUCAUUUCCUAAGCCUUGCAGGUGUGGCCACCAAGGCAUUCAGGCUGUUCCUCCCUGUUGGGGCCUUUGGACUCCUGCUUCCCUGAAUCCAGAUGCUCUCCCCUCCUUCUUCGCCUGGUUCACAGCUACAGAGACCUCAGCCUCAAUGCUAAUGUGUGAUUCCUUUUCAGACACCCCAGACCCAUGGACCCUCCUAUUCUAUGCCCUCCUGUUACUUGGUAAUUUUCCUUCAUCCCACAUAUGACACUGUCAAUCAACCGAUUAUCUGUGUAAUUCUCUGUUGAACCUCAUCUUCCCACUGGACUCCAAGCUCCAGAUGACAGUGACAGAGACGUGGCCCUUCCUCAUGGGAAAUAAGAUGAGUUUUUGAAUUGGGGUGCCGACGGGGAUGGCAGCAAGGAUGCUACCUGGUCCAUUUGAGGGGAGAACAAAAAGCAUGACUUUGAGCAUAUUCCAACUUGUUGUGAAAUCUGGGAAAGGAGAUUGAAAGACAUUCCAGUAUUUUGUAAAAAAUCCUCCACGUGCAAACAGAGACUAUUGGGAAGCGAUCUUGAACUUCAGACAUGACUAAUAGCCUGGAAUGAAUAAGACGCGUCAGUGAUUUAUUUGAAGUGAACAAUAUAAUAAUUAGAAUUGUUUGAUAAGCCAAAUGGUAGGAAUUCUACAUUAGAAUUAGAUGGGACACUUACUCCAUCACCAUGAGGUUGCGCUCUUGAUCGCAGAUCCUUGGGUAGGUCUUGGCUGGUAGGGGAGCUGCUGUUUACAUCUGAGUUUGCCAGAGACAUUGGAAUUUGCAAGAAGGAGCAACAAUCAUAGCAGCUGUAGGGAGGGAACAUUGUGUUUGGGUGACACUAACCAAUCAAACUAAUAAUCUUUCUGUUGUCCAUGACUAUCUCCCCUGCUAGACAAGGGGCCUCCUAAAGUCAGAAACUGGGCCUUGUUUUACCUUUCAAUUUCUGUUAUCUAGAAUAAAUGUCUUUGGAUAAACAAAUGAGUGAUUUCAAUUAUUGCCAUAUGGCCUCUCUCCCUCAAGAAAACAAAGUUUAAUCCAAAUCCACAGAUCAAGAUAAUUCUCACUCCAUAAAAUCUCCAUUAUCCAGAAACAAC
RNAcentral lists this long non-coding RNA (1384 nucleotides) under Equus caballus (horse). Its description in RNAcentral is "lncRNA (ENSECAG00000060169.1)". The record is from RNAcentral. Lineage: Eukaryota; Metazoa; Chordata; Mammalia; Perissodactyla; Equidae.